UGCAGAAUCCCGUGAACCAUCGAGUCUUUGAACGCAAGUUGCGCCCGAUGCCAUUAGGUUGAGGGCACGUCUGACUGGGUGUCACAUAUCGAAGCCUCCUACCAAUUUCCUUUUGACAGGUAUUGUGCAGGGUGGAUGUUGGCCUCCCGUGAGCUAUUUCGUCUCAUGGUUGGUUGAAAAUUGAGACCUUGGUAGGGUGUGCCAUGAUAAAUGGUGGUUGUGUGACCCACGAGACCAAUCGUGUGCCGCUCUAUUGAAUUUGGCCUCUUUUACCCAUAUGCGUUUCUAAACGCUCGUGAUGAGACCCCAGAUCAGGCGGGGCUACCCGCUGAAUUUAAGCAUAUCAAUAAGCGGAGGAAAAGAAACUAACAAGGAUUCCCUUAGUAACGGCGAGCGAACCGGGAUAAGCCCACCAUGAGAAUCGAUCGCCCUCGGCGUUCGA
RNAcentral lists this ribosomal RNA (442 nucleotides) under Lathyrus aphaca (yellow vetchling). RNAcentral's name for it is "eukaryotic LSU rRNA". The stretch from base 302 to 442 matches the Rfam family "Eukaryotic large subunit ribosomal RNA", at positions 1 to 141 of the family's 3401-position model. The record is from RNAcentral. Lineage: Eukaryota; Viridiplantae; Streptophyta; Magnoliopsida; Fabales; Fabaceae.